RNAcentral lists this ribosomal RNA (440 nucleotides) under uncultured archaeon. Its description in RNAcentral is "SSU rRNA". It matches the Rfam family "Archaeal small subunit ribosomal RNA", at positions 33 to 469 of the family's 1478-position model. The record is from RNAcentral.
UUUUCGCUGCAGUCGAUUUAGCAUGCUAGUUGCACGAGUUCAGACUCGUAGCAGAUAGCUCAGUAACACGUGGCCAAACUACCCUAUGGAUCCGGAUACCCUCGGGAAACUGAGACUAAUCCGGAAUACCACUCGAUGCCUGGAACUGGCUCGAGUGCGAAACGCUCCGGCGCCAUAGGAUGUGGCUGCGGCCGAUUAGGUAGACGGUGGGGUAACGGCCCACCGUGCCGAUAAUCGGUACGGGUUGUGAGAGCAAGAGCCCGGAGACGGUAUCUGAGACAAGAUACCGGGCCCUACGGGGCGCAGCAGGCGCGAAACCUUUACACUGCACGACAGUGCGAUAAGGGGACUCCAAGUGCGAGGGCAUAUAGUCCUCGCUUUUCACGACCGUAAGGUGGUCGUAGAAUAAGUGCUGGGCAAGACCGGUGCCAGCCGCCGCG